GUGAGGAAUAUUGGGCAAUGGGGGGAACCCUGACCCAGCAACGCCGCGUGGAGGAAGAAGGCCUUCGGGUUGUAAACUUCUUUUACAGGGGAAGAGAGAGGACGGUACCCUGAGAAUAAGUCACGGCUAACUACGUGCCAGCAGCCGCGGUAAUACGUAGGUGGCGAGCGUUAUCCGGAAUUAUUGGGCGUAAAGCGCACGCAGGCGGCUCCACAAGUCCGACGUGAAAUCUCCUGGCUUAACUGGGAAGGGUCGUUGGAAACUGUGGGGAUUGAGGCGAUGAGAGGGGCGUGGAAUUCCCGGUGUAGUGGUGGAAUGCGUAGAUAUCGGGGGGAACACCAGUGGCGAAAGCGGCGCCCUGGCAUCGGCCUGACGCUCAUGUGCGAAGGCGUGGGGAGCGAACGGGAUUAGAAACCCCAGUAGUCC
RNAcentral lists this ribosomal RNA (426 nucleotides) under uncultured bacterium. RNAcentral's name for it is "bacterial SSU rRNA". It matches the Rfam family "Bacterial small subunit ribosomal RNA", at positions 354 to 796 of the family's 1533-position model. The record is from RNAcentral.